This 468-nucleotide ribosomal RNA is filed under the name uncultured bacterium. RNAcentral describes it as "partial 16S ribosomal RNA". It matches the Rfam family "Bacterial small subunit ribosomal RNA", at positions 28 to 507 of the family's 1533-position model. The record is from RNAcentral.
GACGAACGCUGGCGGCGUGCUUAACACAUGCAAGUCGAACGGAAAGGCCCUGCUUUUGUGGGGUGCUCGAGUGGCGAACGGGUGAGUAACACGUGAGUAACCUGCCCUUGACUUUGGGAUAACUUCAGGAAACUGGGGCUAAUACCGGAUAGGAGCUCCUGCUGCAGGGUGGGGGUUGGAAAGUGUCGGCGGUUGGGGAUGGACUCGCGGCUUAUCAGCUGGUUGGUGGGGUAGUGGCUUACCAAGGCUUUGACGGGUAGCCGGCCUGGGAGGGUGACCGGCCACAUUGGGACUGAGAUACGGCCCAGCCUCCUACGGGAGGCAGCAGUGGGGAAUAUUGCACAAUGGGCGGAAGCCUGAUGCAGCAACGCCGCGUGCGGGAUGACGGCCUUCGGGUUGUAAACCGCUUUCGCCUGUGACGAAGCGUGAGUGACGGUAAUGGGUAAAGAAGCACCGGCUAACUACGUG